AAAAUGAAUGCCAUUGGUUGGUUGAUCUUUCUUCGGAGAGAACCUGACCAGUGGUGUAUAACCUUUGUGAACCAUAAUCUACCCUUGGGCCGUUGCCAACCCGCUUGGGAAGGUAUUCGACCCAGCAUCAAGAAUCAACCUUUUAAAUUUGACUUAUUAUUUUUUAAUUAAAAUUAAACAACUUUAGACAACGGAUCUCUUGGCUCU
RNAcentral lists this unclassified non-coding RNA (207 nucleotides) under rhizosphere metagenome. RNAcentral's name for it is "partial ribosomal RNA internal transcribed spacer region". The record is from RNAcentral.